RNAcentral lists this ribosomal RNA (323 nucleotides) under Acinetobacter junii. RNAcentral's name for it is "bacterial SSU rRNA". It matches the Rfam family "Bacterial small subunit ribosomal RNA", at positions 60 to 385 of the family's 1533-position model. Lineage: Bacteria; Pseudomonadati; Pseudomonadota; Gammaproteobacteria; Moraxellales; Moraxellaceae. The record is from RNAcentral.
AGUCGAGCGGAGAUGAGGUGCUUGCACCUUAUCUUAGCGGCGGACGGUUGAGUAAUGCUUAGGAAUCUGCCUAUUAGUGGGGGACAACAUUCCGAAAGGAAUGCUAAUACCGCAUACGUCCUACGGGAGAAAGCAGGGGAUCUUCGGACCUUGUCCUCAUAGAUGAGCCUAAGUCUGAUUAGCUAGUUGGUGGGGUAAAGGCCUACCAAGGCGACGAUCUGUAGCGGGUCUGAGAGGAUGAUCCGCCACACUGGGACUGAGACACGGCCCAGACUCCUACGGGAGGCAGCAGUGGGGAAUAUUGGACAAUGGGGGGAACCCUG